CAGUCGAGCGGCAGCGGGACCUUCGGGUUGCCGGCGAGCGGCGGACGGGUGAGUAAUGCCUAGGAAUCUGCCUGUUAGUGGGGGAUAACGCGGGGAAACUCGCGCUAAUACCGCAUACGUCCUACGGGAGAAAGCGGGGGCUCUUCGGACCUCGCGCUAACAGAUGAGCCUAGGUCGGAUUAGCUAGUUGGUGGGGUAAUGGCCCACCAAGGCGACGAUCCGUAACUGGUCUGAGAGGAUGAUCAGUCACACUGGAACUGAGACACGGUCCAGACUCCUACGGGAGG
Molecule: ribosomal RNA, 287 nt
Filed under: Azotobacter armeniacus
Lineage: Bacteria; Pseudomonadati; Pseudomonadota; Gammaproteobacteria; Pseudomonadales; Pseudomonadaceae
Description: partial 16S ribosomal RNA
Rfam family: Bacterial small subunit ribosomal RNA
Source: RNAcentral